ACGGGGUGCAGCAGGCGCGAAAACUUCACACUGUGCGAAAGCACGAUGAGGGAAUCCCAAGUGCUUGCUCGUUAGAGUAAGCUGUUUUUAUGUUUAAAACGCAUAGAGAGUAAGGGCUGGGUAAGACGGGUGCCAGCCGCCGCGGUAAUACCUGCAGCUCUAGUGGUGGUCGCUAUUAUUGGGCCUAAAACGUCCGUAGCCGGUCUUAUAAAUGCCUGGGUAAAUCGUAUGGCUUAACCAUACGAAUUCCGGGUAGACUGUUAGACUUGAGACCGGGAGAAGUUAGAGGUACUCCUGGGGUAGAGGUGAAAUUCUGUAAUCCUAGGGGGACGGCCAGUGGUGAAGGCGUCUAGCUAGAACGGGUUUGACGGUGAGGGACGAAGCCCUGGGGCGCAAACGGGAUUAGAUACCCCGGUAGUCCAGGGUGUAAACGCUGCUUGCUUGAUGUUGGUUGAGCUCCGAGCCCAAUCAGUGUCGGAGAGAAGUUGUUAAGCAAGCUGCCCGGGAAGUACGGCCGCAAGGCUGAAACUUAAAGGAAUUGGCGGGGGAGCAC
This 553-nucleotide ribosomal RNA is filed under the name uncultured archaeon. RNAcentral describes it as "bacterial SSU rRNA". It matches the Rfam family "Archaeal small subunit ribosomal RNA", at positions 325 to 879 of the family's 1478-position model. The record is from RNAcentral.